Molecule: ribosomal RNA, 472 nt
Filed under: uncultured bacterium
Lineage: Bacteria
Description: bacterial SSU rRNA
Rfam family: Bacterial small subunit ribosomal RNA
Source: RNAcentral
UGGGGAAUUUUGGACAAUGGGGGCAACCCUGAUCCAGCAAUGCCGCGUGAGUGAAGAAGGCCUUCGGGUUGUAAAGCUCUUUCGGCGGGGACGAAACGGUCCGUGACAACACCACGGACUAAUGACAGUACUCGCAGAAGAAGCACCGGCUAACUACGUGCCAGCAGCCGCGGUAAUACGUAGGGUGCAGGCGUUAAUCGGAAUUACUAGGCGUAAAGCGUGCGCAGGCGGCUCCUUAAGUCAGAUGUGAAAUCCCCGGGCUUAACCUGGGAACUGCGUUUGAAACUGAGGGGCUAGAGUGUGGAAGAGGGGGGUGGAAUUCCAGGUGUAGCAGUGAAAUGCGUAGAGAUCUGGAGGAACACCGAUGGCGAAGGCAGCCCCCUGGGCUAACACUGACGCUCAUGCACGAAAGCGUGGGGAGCAAACAGGAUUAGAUACCCAGGUAGUCCCUGAGCGGGCUGGCAAGGCGCAU